GACGAACGCUGGCGGCGUGCUUAACACAUGCAAGUCGAACGGAAAGGCCCUGCUUGCAGGGUACUCGAGUGGCGAACGGGUGAGUAACACGGGGGUGAUCUGCCCUCCACUUUUGGGUAAGCCUGGGAAACUGGGUCUAAUACCGGAUAGGAGCCAUUUUUUGUGUGAUGGUUGGAAAGUUUUUUUGGUGUAGGAUGAGCUGGCGGCCUAUCAGCGUGUUGGUGGGGUAAUGGCCUACCAAGCCGGCGACGGGUAGCCGGCCUGAGAGGGUGGACGGCCACAUUGGGACUGAGAGACGGCCCAGACUCCUACUGGAGGCAGCAGUGGGGAAUCUUGCACAAUGGGCGCAAGCCUGAUGCAGCGAGGCCGCGGGGGGGAUGACGGCCUUCGGGUUGUAAACUCCUUUCGCUAGGGACGAAGCUUUUUGUGACGGUACCUAGAGAAGAAGCACCGGCUAACUACGUG
This 465-nucleotide ribosomal RNA is filed under the name uncultured bacterium. Its description in RNAcentral is "partial 16S ribosomal RNA". It matches the Rfam family "Bacterial small subunit ribosomal RNA", at positions 28 to 507 of the family's 1533-position model. The record is from RNAcentral.